CUAGAUUCCUGAACACAUUCAGACCUGCCACAGCAACCUAGCUCUGAACUCCCUUCAAAAUUUCACUCUUGUGGCCCAGGCUGGAGUGCAAUGGCGUGAUCUCAGCUCACUGCAACUUCUACCUCUCGGAUUCAAGUGAUUCUCCUGCCUCAGCCUCCCAGGUAGCUGGGAUUACAGGGCUGCUCUAUGCCAAAGGAAAUAAGAUUAAAGCAACACAGGAAGAGUUCUGGUUGGCAAUAAGACACAAUGGAUAUAUCUUGCAUGGGAUUUGAAAGGAAGAGUAGAAAAAUCUACAUGAGUACUCUUGGGGGAAAAGAGGUCUCACUCUGUCACCAGGCUGGAUUGCAAAGGCAUGAUCAUGGCUCACUGCAGCCUCAACCUACCUAGCUCAAGUGAUCCUCCCACUGCACCCUCCUAAGUAGCUGGGACUACAGGUAUGCACCACCACACCUAACUAAUUUAUGCAAAUCUUAUUUAUAGUGGCAUUAAUCUAUUCAUGAGGCUAGAACCCUUAUGACCUAAACACUUCCUUUUAGGCCUCAUCUCCUGACACUGUUGCAUUGGGGAAUACGUUUUUAACAUAUGAAUUUUGGGGGACAUAUUUAGCACAUAGCGCCUUAAUGAGAAAUGUUUCCUGGGCUUAUUAAAGACAAUAUUUGGGGGUCACACCUUUUUAGAGCUGAGGGCCGAAUCCUGAGAGAAGGAUAUGCCCAUAUCUUCUUUUAUAACAAUGUAGUGUGUGAGUAUGUUUGUGGUUUCAAGGGCUCUUUAGUGGUAUAAGAUGCCCCCUUCUCUGUAUCUAAAGGUGGUACUCCCAAUGAUAUGCUCCUUUCUAAAUCCAGUGACAUUUCUAUGUAUUUUAUUUUCUUAGCCUUUCUGUUGUCAGCAAUAUUACAUCAAUUACCUCUGUAUUCUUGAAAAUCUCAUUUUAUCAUGCUCUUUUCUGCUGAUCCUACUACCUAAUUUUUUUUUUCUAUAAACUCUUACUCCAAGCCAAUGUUAUACAUGUUAUACAAUGUUAUACCUAACUUCUGUCCUAGGAUCUUACUCCAAGCCAGUGUUAUAUAUGUUCUACCUAACUUCUUUCCUUGACUUUUACUCUAAGCCAGCGUUAUACAUGUUCUACCUAACUUCUGUCCUUGGAUUGUGCUCCAAGCCAAUGUUAUACAUGUUCUACCGAACUUCUGUCCUUGACUUUUACUCUAAGCCAAUGUUAUACGUGUUCUACCUAACUUCUGUCCUUGACUCUUACUCUAAGCCAAUGUUAUACAUGUUCUACCUAACUUCUGUCCUUGGCUCUUUGCUGUUUUUAUAUGCUCAUAUCUUCAACUAUUAUUUGUAAGAAGAUCACACUCAAAGGUGUAUCCUGAGCUUGAGUAUUGUAUUUCUAGUUGUCUGUUGAACAUCUCUUCCUGGACAUCACACAAGUUUCCCAAACAUGGUACUUUCAGAAUUUACUAUAUCAAGCUCCUCCACAUAUUUUUAAUUGCUGUGAACUUUAUAUCUGUUAAAGACACCACACAUAGUCUUCUCACCCUGGCCAAACAACUUGCUCUCAUUGUUCUUCACUUAAUUUCCUGAUGUUGUUAUCUUGCUUUCUUGAUUUCUCUUGUUUCUGUCCCCUUUUUUCCAUUGUCCUCUUUUCUUCAUCUUGUACAUAGUAGGCACUUAGUGAUCAUUUACUGAUAUUGGCUUUCCGCCUAAUCAGAACUUAUUUUAUAUAAUGACAUGAUAAAAUGUUAUAACAUUGACAUGCCUGGAUAAUUCAGUCUUUCAUGGCAUAACUUUUUGAAAAUAAUUCUUCUAGUACUUGUUGGAUAACCAAACUUUUUUGUAUUACCGCCAUUGCUUUUUAAAAUUCUUUCAAAUAUAACAUCACAAUAUAUUGUCAAAUAAUGAAAUGUUUUAUUAAGGCAAAACAAAAGUGCAAAAUCGAUACAAUAAACACUGCAAAUCAAAUAUUCUUAAAAGGUGUUAUUAAGUUCUUUUACUGUAAGAGGUCUAAUAGUAAAGAUUUCAGGCUUUGUGAGCUAUACAAUCUGUCACAACUACUGAAUCCUGCUGUUGUAGCACAAAAGCACCCAUAGAUAAUACCCAAGUGAAUGGCAUGGUUACAUUCCAGUAAAACUUUAUUUACAAAUAUAAAAUUUAAAAUUUUAUGUAAUUGCCAUGAGUCACAGAAUAUUAUUCUGCUUUUGAUUUUUAUAAACACUGGAAAGUGUAAAAAUUAUUCUUUAGCUUGAAGGCUAUACAAAAAUAGAAAUAUGCCCAGAUUUGACCCAUGGGUCAUAGUUUGCCAAUGCCUGCUAUAAAAAAUAAAUUACUAAAAUUCAAGAAUCAUUAUUUUUGUGAUUCUUGAAGAAUCCCAACAACUGAACAUCAAUAACAUAACUUUACUUUCCCAAGGCAUUACAGAUUUAUUGAUUCAGAACAAAAAAAAUUACCACUGAUUAUGCCAGUAGGUACUGGGUUAGUUAUUUUGGAAAAUGCAAAAAGAUACUAGGCGCUGUCUUUCCUGCUUUAGGGAUCACACUCUAUUAGAGGGGAAAGGCAAUGAUGUAAAACAGUAUAAAACAAAACAGUGUGUGAUAAAUGCUACUAUUAUAGAAAUUUUUAAAAAAUCUAUAGAGCUCCAAGGCAGUGGUUGAUUCCGAUCGGGAGGAAAUAGAAAUGUGUCCUGAUGAUGUUGCUUAAGGUGAGUCUCAAGAGUGGGUAAACCAUGAUGGACAGUGACAGCCUGGAAUCAGGGAGGGAGGCUGUGCUUUUGAUGAAGGAAAUAAUAAGCUGAUGGAGGCUAGGGAUGCAAGAUGGCCUCGGUUGAGGGCAGGAGUUAGUGAUGGGCACACAUUUUUGGGGAGUUACAAGUUUGAGAACUUUGAGAUGAGAACCUUAAAAUCUAGGUUAACCAUUUAGCUUUUAUUUUUUUCUGCAAGGAAAUUCACUAAAGAAGAUUAGGGAAAGAAAGAUGUCAAAGAUCCCAUUUAAAGUUGAAUUUCCUUUAUGGCAGUGAUUAAUAAAGAAUCUAAUCUUAUUUGGGCAAUACUGGAAAUUAUGAAAAUUGAGUUUAGAUGUUGCUGUAAAAUUGGUCCUUUAAAAUCUAUUCAAAACAUUGUUUUUAAACAAAAUGAAGACUGUUAAUUGAUCUAGAGUUUAAAAUAUUAAUUCCUUUUUGUAGUUUUAAAAUUUUGCUGAAAAACUAGAAAAAACUUCUUGAAUUUGUUUCACUAUCUACCAAACCUCUCAUAGCUGCAGUUAGGAUAUUUAUGCCAAUGUUAUAAUGUAAUCAAUGCUACACUGAACAAUCACUUAGUUUCUAUCUGACUGUUUUAGUCUGCUCAGGCUGCCAUAACACAAUACCGUAUACUGGGUGGCUUAAACAACAGUAGUUUUUCUCACAAUUCUGGAGGCUAAAAGUCCAAGAUCAAGGUAAUGAACAAUUCAGUUUCUGGUGAGGACUCUCUUCCUGGCUUGUAGAUGGUUGCUCUUGACUUUGGCCUUCUUCACUCCAUGUGUUACGGGAAAGGGCAACGCAAACUCUCUGGUGUCUCUUCUGAUAAUAUUAAUCCUAUUGGAUUAGGGCUCCACCUAUACAGCCUCAUUUACUCUUAAACACCUUCUCAAAGGCUCCAUUUUCAAAUACAGCCACACUGGGGCUUAGGGCUUCAACCCAUGAAUUUGGGGGAAGGGUACAGGCAUUCAAUUGUUGAUACUCACCAUAUUUUAUACCUGCUAUGUAAUAAAUUCUUGGCUAGAAUUCAAUUUCUACUUUGUAGAUCCCAAACUUUCCAAGUUCGGUUAAAAAAUAACAAUUCAAAUUGAUUGUGAAUUGACUAAGUGCACACAGAUAACUGUAUGUGAAUAAAUAAUUCUUCCCCUCUUCUUAAUUGUACGGUGCAUUUUUAUCUCUUCUUUUAAAUUUAUAUUACAAAAGAAAAUUUGUCAGUUUACACAUAUAUGAGUCUAAGGACAAAACUGAAGGCCAUGGAAAAGAAAAUCAUGACCGGAGGUAAAAACUGAAUUGCAUUAUAGGAUUUGAAUGUCUCUUAUUAAUCCAUGGCAUUUCAGAAUUACAUGUAAUGCUAUUUUAGAGUAGUUGUUUGACAAGGGCAUUAGGAAGAAACGACACUCCCUCCUGAUUUAAAUAACAUUCUUGUUUCACAUUUAAAAUUUAUAUGUGCUUUUUAAAUUCUUCUGAAUAAAAAUUGCAGCAACUUCUUUGACAUUUAAUUAUUGCUUGUCUGUUAUAUGCAUUCUUGCAAUGGUGCCCAGGUCAAGAGAAUUAAUGUACACACUUUUCAAAGAGUUCUUACUGUUAAUUUCUGAGAAUUAGUAACAGAACAAAGAUAAAUAAAGAAUAUUAUUUUUUAUCUAUCUGAUAUUAAUUAUACCAGCACACAUUUCAUAAUUCCAGCCAUAUUAUAAAAUGUAAUAGUGAAUCCUUGACUACAAUAAGUUGUUUUUUUAAAUGUUUGCUAUCAAUGAAAAAGAAUCAAUUCUUGUUUUUUUUAUUUUAUUAUUAUUAUACUUUAAGUUUUAGGGUACAUGUGCACAAUGUGCAGGUUAGUUACAUAUGUAUACAUGUGCUAUGCUGGUGUGCUGCACCCAUUAACUCGUCAUUAAGCAUUAGGUAUAUCUCCUAAUGCUAUCCCCCCUCCCCCCACCCCACAACAGUCCCCAGAGUGUGAUGUUCCCCUUCCUGUGUCCAUGUGUUCUCAUUGUUCAAUUCCCACCUAUGAGUGAGAACAUGCGGUGUUUGGUUUUUUGUCUUUGUGACAGUUCACUGAGAAUGAUGAUUUCCAAUUUCAUCCAUGUCCCUACAAAGGACAUGAACUCAUCAUUUUUAUGGCUGCAUAGUAUUCCAUGGUGUAUAUGUGCCACAUUUUCUUAAUCCAGUCUAUCAUAGUUGGACAUAAUUCUUGUUUAAAAGAGGGAAAAGAAAAAAGGUAGAAAAGAUAAAUUCUUCCUUUAAAACAUAAUCUAUGUAUUUUUAUCAGAAGUUCUCUCAUUUUAUUUAAAUUUUGCUUACUGUCUAUUUUCUAUUCGGAAGAGAAAAUUAUUCCUUCGAAAUGUUGACAAUGGCUGGACAUAAAGAAAAAACUAAGUUUCUUCAAGGACUCAAAUGCAGGGAUUGACAUUUGAUAUUGUUGAUAUUAGUCUGAUUAUUUGUUAUUACCAAAUAAAAUCCGAUGACUCUCUAGACACUUUAUUUGGUUAUUAAAAAAUCUAAGUGGACUUUGUUGAAAUCUCCAAAUAAAUAAGGAGCAUGCUGCUGUUGAUAUCAGGUUUACAUGAUAAAUAUAUAGUUGAUAGCCAAUAGCAUUUGAAAAUAUACAGAGCUAUAUUUCAACAAAGGAAAGCUUUAAUAAUGUAUCUAUUUAAUCACAGUUCUCAAAUCAUUAAAUGUAGAGGAGAGGCAAUAAACAUAAGUUAAAUAAUAGGAAAAUGAGAAUAAGAGAUUAUUUUGAGAACUCUCUAAAUUGUUAGGGGAAAAGUUUCUUAAUGAGCUAUUUUAAUAUUCAGAUUCAUUGAAGGUAUUUUUUUGUUGGAGGAGUGAUCUGAACUUCAAGCUCAAAUCCAUUAUUCAUGGAUAUUUUAAAAGACAGUAAAGUUUAUUUUCAAAUGUUUUUCUAAAGUCUUAGAAGGUAAUUUUUUUGAAAAUUUAUUAGCUUUUUAUUUAUCAUUCAUAUACUAAUUUUAUAUGGGUCAAAUUUAUUAUAAAUUAAUGUCAUUUUUAAUAUUCUCUAUAUGUUUAUAGUACUUUAGAGAUUUUUCUGUAAUUACAUGUCUAAUACAUUUUACGUGUCUUUGAGCAUAAUAUUCAAAUUGCAAAAUGUUUUAUAGGUUUUAGACAUCUAUACAACUUAUCUUGCUUUAUGAAAUAAUGUUCAAUAUUGAUCAAUAAUGCAAUCUAGCCCUAAAAGCCUUUAUUACUUAGACAUAAAAGAAAGAAAAUAAAUAAACAUUCAACUCAUGAAUUUAAACUAUUAAUAUUUAGGAGAAAGUGAGUAAUAAAGAUAAUAAAAAUAUCCACAAAAUGUCAAAUAGUAGAAUUAUAGAACUAAAUAAAUUGUUAAUUGUAAAUAAGCAAAUUCAAGAGUUGAUUUUGUUUUAAGUCAGUUAAAUACACAGUUGUAGUCAAUAAAAAAAGGACAAAAGCAGUUCCACCACCCCCACUUCCAAAUUUUGGAAAAUGAGAGGACAUGUAUUAAAAACUAUAGAAGAUAAAUGUAUACAUUAGAAAUUUUUUUGAAGGGGAUGUGUUAUGGAAAAAUACACAUUAUUAAAAUGAAGCCAGAAAAGAAUAAAAACUAAAUAGAACAAUAACUAUGGAAGAAUAUAUGUAUAUGCUGUUUGUGUGUACACACACACACGCACACACACACAGGUUUCCAAAUUGCUUUUCCAAAACUAGCAUUAAACCUAAUAUCAAACCUUGCCAAACGCCAUACAAAUGAGAAAACAGCCUCAACAGUCAUACUUACAGAUAAUAGAAUAACCCUAAAUUCUUUCGACCUCAAUUUCACUUGCAUCUGUGUGAAGAGACCAUCAAACAGGCUUUGUGUGAGCAAUAAAGCUGUUUAUUUCACCUGGGUGCAGGUGGGCUGAGUCCGAAAAGAGAGUCAGUGAAGGGAGAUAGGGGUGCGGCCCUUUUAUAGGAUUUGGGUAGGUAAAGGAAAAAGGGAGGUGUUCUCUGGCAGGCAAGAGUGGGGGGUCACAAGGUGCUCAGUAGAGGAGCUUUUGAGCCAGGAUGAGCAAGGAAAAGGAAUUUCACAAGAUAAUGCCAUCAGUUAAGGCAGGAACAGGCCAUUUUCACUUCUUUUGUGGUGGAAUGUCAUCAGUUAAGGCAGGAACUGGCCACCUGGAUGUGUACGUGCAGGUCACAGGGGAUAUGAUGGCUUAGCUUGGGCUCAGAGGCCUAACAUUCCUGUCUUCUUAUGUUAAUAAGAAAAAUAAAACAAAAUAAUGGUAAAGUGUUGGGAUGGUGAAAAUUUUGGGGGAUGGUAUGGAGAAAUAAUGGGCGAUGUUUCUCAGGGUUGCUUCGAGCGGGAUUAGGGGAGGCGUGGGAACCUAGAGUGGGAGAGAUUAAGCUGAAGGAAGAUUUUGUGGUAAGGGGUGAUAUUGUGGGGUUGUUAGAAGAAACAUUUGUCAUUUAGAAUUAUUGGUGAUGGCCUGGAUACGGUUUUGUAUGAAUUGAAAAACUAAACGGAAUAAGAGAAGGAGAAAAACAGGUAUUAAAGGUCUAAGAAUUGGGAAGACCCAGGACAUCUAAUUAGACAGUGCCUAAGGAGAUUCAGCAUAGUCCU
Molecule: long non-coding RNA, 7304 nt
Organism: Pan troglodytes (chimpanzee)
Lineage: Eukaryota; Metazoa; Chordata; Mammalia; Primates; Hominidae
Exons: 4
Source: RefSeq, a predicted model, not a curated record